RNAcentral lists this ribosomal RNA (275 nucleotides) under uncultured Staphylococcus sp. RNAcentral describes it as "partial 16S ribosomal RNA". It matches the Rfam family "Bacterial small subunit ribosomal RNA", at positions 89 to 355 of the family's 1533-position model. Lineage: Bacteria; Bacillati; Bacillota; Bacilli; Caryophanales; Staphylococcaceae. The record is from RNAcentral.
ACGUUAGCGGCGGACGGGUGAGUAACACGUGGGUAACCUACCUAUAAGACUGGGAUAACUUCGGGAAACCGGAGCUAAUACCGGAUAAUAUUUCGAGCCGCAUGGUUCGAUAGUGAAAGAUGGUUUUGCUAUCACUUAUAGAUGGACCCGCGCCGUAUUAGCUAGUUGGUAAGGUAACGGCUUACCAAGGCGACGAUACGUAGCCGACCUGAGAGGGUGAUCGGACCACACUGGAACUGAGACACGGGUCCAGACUCCUACGGGAGGCAGCAGCC